GACGAACGCUGGCGGCGUGCUUAACACAUGCAAGUCGAACGGAAAGGCCCUGCUUUUGUGGGGUGCUCGAGUGGCGAACGGGUGAGUAACACGUGAGUAACCUGCCCUUGACUUUGGGAUAACUUCAGGAAACUGGGGCUAAUACCGGAUAGGAGCUCCUGCUGCAUGGUGGGGGUUGGAAAGUUUCGGCGGUUGGGGAUGGACUCGCGGCUUAUCAGCUUGUUGGUGGGGUAGUGGCUUACCAAGGCUUUGACGGGUAGCCGGCCUGAGAGGGUGACCGGCCACAUUGGGACUGAGAUACGGCCCAGACUCCUACGGGAGGCGGCAGUGGGGAAUAUUGCACAAUGGGCGGAAGCCUGAUGCAGCAACGCCGCGUGCGGGAUGACGGCCUUCGGGUUGUAAACCGCUUUCGCCUGUGACGAAGCGUGAGUGACGGUAAUGGGUAAAGAAGCACCGGCUAACUACGUGCCAGCAGCCGCGGUGAUACGUAGGGUGCGAGCGUUGUCCGGAUUUAUUGGGCGUAAAGGGCUCGUAGGUGGUUGAUCGCGUCGGAAGUGUAAUCUUGGGGCUUAACCCUGAGCGUGCUUUCGAUACGGGUUGACUUGAGGAAGGUAGGGGAGAAUGGAAUUCCUGGUGGAGCGGUGGAAUGCGCAGAUAUCAGGAGGAACACCAGUGGCGAAGGCGGUUCUCUGGGCCUUUCCUGACGCUGAGGAGCGAAAGCGUGGGGAGCGAACAGGCUUAGAUACCCUGGUAGUCCACGCUGUAAACGGUGGGUACUAGGUGUGGGGUCCAUUCCACGGGUUCCGUGCCGUAGCUAACGCUUUAAGUACCCCGCCUGGGGAGUACGGCCGCAAGGCUAAAACUCAAAGGAAUUGACGGGGCCCCGCACAAGCGGCGGAGCAUGCGGAUUAAUUCGAUGCAACGCGUAGAACCUUACCUGGGUUUGACAUGGAUCGGGAGUGCUCAGAGAUGGGUGUGCCUCUUUUGGGGUCGGUUCACAGGUGGUGCAUGGCUGUCGUCAGCUCGUGUCGUGAGAUGUUGGGUUAAGUCCCGCAACGAGCGCAACCCUUGUUCACUGUUGCCAGCACGUUAUGGUGGGGACUCAGUGGAGACCGCCGGGGUCAACUCGGAGGAAGGUGGGGAUGACGUCAAGUCAUCAUGCCCCUUAUGUCCAGGGCUUCACGCAUGCUACAAUGGCUGGUACAGAGAGUGGCGAGCCUGUGAGGGUGAGCGAAUCUCGGAAAGCCGGUCUCAGUUCGGAUUGGGGUCUGCAACUCGACCUCAUGAAGUCGGAGUCGCUAGUAAUCGCAGAUCAGCAACGCUGCGGUGAAUACGUUCCCGGG
Molecule: ribosomal RNA, 1343 nt
Filed under: uncultured bacterium
Lineage: Bacteria
Description: 16S ribosomal RNA
Rfam family: Bacterial small subunit ribosomal RNA
Source: RNAcentral